Passer domesticus (house sparrow) is the source of this 328-nucleotide long non-coding RNA. RefSeq lists it as uncharacterized. The transcript has 3 exons. NCBI's taxonomy places the organism in Eukaryota, Metazoa, Chordata, Aves, Passeriformes, Passeridae. The record is from RefSeq and is a predicted model, not a curated record.
UGCGUAGAGUGCUGGAGCACCUCUGCCAUGGAGACAGGCUGAGAGAGAUGGAGGUGUUCAGCCUGGAGACAAGAAUGUUACAGUGGCAUGUUAGAGCCCCUUCUAGUACCUAAGGGAGAUCCAAGAAUGCUGGAGAGUGACAAGACAACGGGCAAAUGGCUUCUGAUAGAAAGGAUUAUGACUUCAGCAAAACACAGAAGUAUGAUGUGAUUAGACCUUUUUUGGACACCAGUAUACUGGAUGUAGCCCUGCUUUCCUGGGAAUGCCUGAAGACUUGCCUGUACAUGGGGAGAAGUGAAUGAAUUCCUUGUUUUGCCCAGUUUGCAUG